UGAGGAACCUAUCCCAGUCUCUGGAAUAACAGGUGGAAACACCUGCUAAUACCGGAUGCCGUUGGACCAUCGCAUGGUGGACCAACGAAAGAUUUAUCGGAGUGGGAGGGCCUCGCGGCCUAUCAGCUUGUUGGCGGGGUAAUGGCCCACCAAGGCGUCGACGGGUAGCUGGUCUGAGAGGGCGACCGGCCACACUGGGACUGAGACACGGCCCAGACUCCUACGGGAGCAGNA
This 234-nucleotide ribosomal RNA is filed under the name uncultured bacterium. RNAcentral's name for it is "partial 16S ribosomal RNA". It matches the Rfam family "Bacterial small subunit ribosomal RNA", at positions 118 to 347 of the family's 1533-position model. The record is from RNAcentral.